This is a long non-coding RNA of Fundulus heteroclitus (mummichog), 561 nucleotides long. RefSeq lists it as uncharacterized. The transcript has 2 exons. The record is from RefSeq and is a predicted model, not a curated record. Lineage: Eukaryota; Metazoa; Chordata; Actinopteri; Cyprinodontiformes; Fundulidae.
AACUCAGACUUUAGUUACCUGGCUGAUAUCACCUGUUCUGACACUGAAAACCCUGAAUAAGGUGGAACUACUCAGAGUAGCAGCUUUCUACUCAGGGCAGAUCGGACAUUAUUUCUAAAACGGGCCGGAUGACGUCAAACCCCAGCUCGCUUCUACCGUAAUACACUUUGUGUGCGCCGGGCUAAUUAUUAGCAGCGAGCUAACAUCCGCCGUUCUGACUGUAAAUGGUCCCUCAGCCGCAGCUGGAGGUGAGAUGAUGGAGUGUGGAAGCAUCAAACCUGAUGUGUGCAGCAGAUGUUGGGGGCUGAAAGCAGCAUCCAGGAUGUGGUGUCUCUGCUCCUCUGCUGCAUCCAGUCGCUGCUUGACCUGCUGUCUCCACAUCUCUGCUAGCUUUUCUCUCUCCAAACUUUCCUUUAACACUUCCUGAGCAGUUCCAGCUGAGCUUCAAGCCGUUUCUCUUCUUUCCACAGUUCACCAACUGCUGCUCUUUCUAUCUUCCAGCUUUAUUAACUCUCCCGCUGCUGCUCCGUGGACAAAAACCCAACAAAACACGAACGACGA